RNAcentral lists this long non-coding RNA (1350 nucleotides) under Equus caballus (horse). RNAcentral's name for it is "lncRNA (ENSECAG00000051453.1)". Lineage: Eukaryota; Metazoa; Chordata; Mammalia; Perissodactyla; Equidae. The record is from RNAcentral.
GUGCCGGGUCGGUGUAUUUGUAGAGGGGUUAGAUGUGGUCAUGUGACCAGGGCCCAGAAGAAGACAGAUCUGGGCAAUAGAAAGAUAGAUAAAGGGCCCAUGAGAAAGUAGUUUUCUAACCUUCAAAACAAAAACAGGAUGCAUCCUCUGUGUGAGGAGGAGAGGGGUCUCACGUCACUAGGGGUGUUAGAGACGACACGGUAGAGGUGAUUCCAGCAUCAGAUGAUGUCUUUUCCAGAUACAAAGUAGAAUUAAACAUGGCGCUGAAGAGAAUCUCAUCACCAUGCAAUGAGAGUUGAGGCAGGAGGCGGCCUUCUGGGUGAAGACUAACGAGAAGUUUCCAUUUAGGAAGCUUUUCUGCAGCGAGCUGACUUUGAGUCUAAUACCUUUUUUUUUCUCUUACUCUUUUCUGAGAUAAUUGUAUUUUAAAUAGUUCUUAAAAAGGAUUUUACUGGGUGGAAAUAUAAGGCUUCGUUCUUUCUGAAGGAAGCGGUUUCAGUGAAAAUUUAUUUAACCCCACGGCGCCAAAGCAGGGUGGUGGCAUCUUCCAGAGUUUCACGGAAGUGUCUGUUGAUUGGGAUUGCCUACAGAGCUUGAUUCCAGACCCCGCUGAUGACGUCAUCCUGCAACAUUUUAGGAUUGUCAUAAAAUUAGCUUCUGUCGAAGCACUUAUUUUCUGGAUGAAGAUUUCACAGUCUUCUUGGCAGCUUGGUUUAAAGAUUAGUCACACUUAAGUUAUAUCUGAGCCACCAGAGGAUUGAACCACACCAGUGAAUAAAAAGCAGCCCGCCCCGCCUGCCUUCUAAGUGGACUCUGCCUUCUGAGGUGUUUCGUUUAUCAUCAAAUCUUCUCAUGGUCAUUCAGAUUUGAAGACAUACACAGAGUGCUUGCUCAUCCUCACAUUAAGAAAAUAAGUAAGCGAUGGACAUAUAAGAAUUCUGGAAGUAUUAGAGUCUACAUAAUUCAUCCCUCCUUCAAGUCAUGAGAUCUUCAAUCAGGGUAAAUAUGAAAUUAAAGCCAACUCAUGGCCCUGGCCUGGAGCACCCUUACGUGAGGCCCAUGCAGCCAUCUGAGCCACUGGAUAUGUCCUACUUUUUGUCCAAAUCUCUGGGCCUCACAAAAAAGCCCUCUCACAGUUAUAGAACUUAUAAGAAAACGAAAUCAGAAUCUCUCUAUUUGACAUUUUUAACAAUUACUACAAGAAUCUGAAGUUUGUUGCUAUUCGGAAAGGUCCAGUAACCUUGGAGGGGCUAUAUUCUGUUGGUGGCAGGGUCAAGUAAAAUAGGAAGAUUGAUCUUAGUUAUUAAGAAGAUUAAUUUAUGCUACAAAUAAACUCCACAAUGGGGCUGA